RNAcentral lists this long non-coding RNA (7170 nucleotides) under Homo sapiens (human). Lineage: Eukaryota; Metazoa; Chordata; Mammalia; Primates; Hominidae. The record is from RNAcentral.
AGUGUUUACUUCGCCUCCACUUCUGUUCCUCCCCGCCCUGGUGCUGCUCCAGGUCACAUACUCUUCCUGAGCCGGCUUCAGCCUCUCCGCGCAGAAGUCUCCCGGAGCCAUGGCCUAGUAUUCUUAUGUGAAGUCUACCAAGCUUGUGCUCAAGGGAACCGAGGUGAAGAGCUGGGUCCUGCAGCUCCGGCGGGAGCCUCCUCAGUUCUUUUCGGACGCACUCCACCCCCGCGAAUCCGGUGGAAGCCGUGAUGCGGAGAGCCGGCUUCGUGGCCUCCCAGGCUUCGCUCUGACCCUGUCUGGGCUGGAUGGAGGCCGGACCGCCCUUCCUGGCGCCUGUGCAGAGAGGGGCAGCCUCCUGCGCGGACGACCCUGGAAACAGGAUAGACGGGCGGGUGACCCGUGACCCCGUACCCACGAGUUUGGGUCCCUUGAGGCAUCUCUCCAGGCCUCUGCCUGUAAGAAGAAAAAGAGCAAAGAUAAGAAGAGAAAAAGAGAAGAUGAAGAAACCCAGCUUGAUAUGUUGGAAUCUGGUGAACAGUAACAAACUUUGGUGAAAUUUCAGGAACCAUAGCCAUUGAAGUGGAUGAGGGAACCUAUAUACAUGCACUCAACAAUGGUCUUUUUACCCUGGGAGCUCCACACAAAGAAGAAUCGCCCUGAAACCUGGCUAUGGAAAAUAUCUUAGUAUAAAUUCAGAUGAACUUGUUGUUGGCGUUCAGAUGCAAUUGGACCAAGAGAACAAUGGGAACCAGUCUUUCAAAAUGGUGCCUGUGCAGCAGUAUUCACUGUGAUAGGAAGUGAGAAGCAGUCUGAGUGUUCAUUGCUGAGGGAAUCAAGGGCAAAAUAUCAUGGAUGCACUCAUGGACAAAUAAGCAGCAGUUUGAAGCAACACCCUAGAUGGAUGUACAGCCAUCAAGAGGAUCUUAAAGUGUGGUCUUUAGUGGAAAAAAAGCAGAAGCAAUGUAUGGGAGACUGAGUAAUUACAUAUGAGCUCACAUCACUAUCUCUUCCACCACUGUCAUCCAUCAUGACUGAUCUGGGAGAUGAAACAGCACAGAUCUAAAGGACGUGGUAAGAAUCGAGAUCACCAGAGAUCAGUAGAUACUUGCAUACUUGGAGGAUUAACACUGUCUGGAUUCCAACGAUCAGCUGAGUAUGUUCAAGAUAAAGCUAUAGUACAUAUUUUAGAUUGGGAAUUGGCAACAAAUAGCUGUAGACUACCUUCUGAGGAAUAAGUGUUUUCACAUGUGUGGGUGUCAUUUCUAAUCCCAGCAUCACAGUCAGGUCCAGAUACCUGUUUCUGAUCUUUGGUCCUAUGCCUAAUCUCCUCCAAGAGUCCUUCCCUGGAUCUCCUAUCUAAGCAAGAUGCUCGAUGCCCACCAAUGAGUACUGCACCAAGUUCAUUUCCACUAGCCUGUGUUACAAUUUGUGUUUCUGUAUGUUUCCCUUACUUGUUAUUCUUUGUCUUCCCCAUUAGACUGAAAGCACCGCCACGGGGACCGUGUCUAGGACAUAGGAGGUCCUUAAUAAAUAUUUCUUGAGUGGAUAAAUGGUGAACCAUAGGGGUGGCAUAAGAGCAAAUAGAGGGUAGAUGAGCACUAAUCCAUUCACCACCCUGUUUAUGGGUGGUGGACCUUGGAUGGCCUUUUUCAUAGUCAAAACAUACUUUUUAGAUCUGCCUUCUUGGGAUGUAUUCAAGGAUGCUAGCCGUGUUUGAGACUGUAAAUAUGUCUAGUGAAUAGGGCUUCAGGCUGUGUGUGUUUGCCUUGUUUUGCACAGAAUUCGGCACAGCCCCAAGCACAGAUGGGUGCUUCAUAAAUAUUGUUGAAGGAUGAUGACACAAAGGAUUAUUUAAUACCUCUGACCUCAGGCCACAAACAUACUUUCAAUGUGUUUUACUUCUGAAAUCAUUUGAACCAGAAUGUUUCAGCAACACAGAUUCAUCUGCAACCACAAAUCAGACACAUUUAGAAUGACAAAGCCCCAAAAGAAUGCCAUUUUCAAGGCUGAAACUGUAUUAUUCUGGGCUAAAUGGAAUCCUUGUUUUAGUGACACUGUAAGAGUAGAAAUUAAAGACACUGAAAAUCUUCCCUUGGGGAACCACAAUUAUCUGUGAACAAUGAAAGUUUGUCUGAAUAAUUCAUCAGCCUCAAGGGUACAGGCCUCCCCUUAUUCUGGAAUCCCAGGAGUUUAGGCAAGUGUGUCAUUUAAUGGGUCUCAACUGUGUCCUCAGUUGUUAUUAUUCCAGGGCCUGGCAUUUAUGGGCACAUUCCUAUAAUUUUACUAAUUAAAAAAAAAUAAGCUAUAUGGGAAACCACUGUCAAGGUCAAAAUUUUGAAGCUGCAUUGAUUUUACCUAGGAAGAAAGAAGCUUAUAAAGUGUCCAUCAUGAGAAUCCACCUGGGACCUACACAACAGAUCAAAUACCCAGAACAAAUCACCACGUCAGAGCCCCACAGAAUUCUGAUUCCCAACCAACAAGCAUGAGUAAUCCUUUUAAAUGGUCACUUACAUAUCAGAACAGGUCCUUUGUGAAAUUUCUAAGCAAGGCCUCUGGUUUCUGACUGAAACAGAGAUUUAUUGAGAAGGAGGGGUAAAGUGAAAUCAAGAACUGCUGGGAAAUUUCCACAAGAAACAAGGACAAAUGGUUUUUGUUGUCAGAGUAAAACCAGCCUCCCCUAGCCAUGGUUUGGAAAGUUAUUUGCUAGCCCACAGGGGACAAUAUUCUCAACUGGUUUAUCAGGGACCCUUUUGAUCCAAUUAUAGUUAUUGGGCAGAUACAGUAGUACCCUAUUAUCAGAAGACCUAGUUUCAAAUCCUGAGUCAACUUCUAAUUCACUGUGUGACCUUGUACAAGUCACUUAAGCUCUCUGAUCAUUGGUUCAACAUCUUUAAUAUGAGGAGAGUAAUGCCUAUCUCAAUUACCUCAUAAAAUUAUUGCAAAGAUCAAGUGAGUUGAUAUGUUACAAAUUAUUUCUAAAUUAUAAGAUUCUGUAUAAGUGGAAGGGUUAAAUAUACUCCCAUAUUAUUAAAUACCCUACGUAUCACUCAGGAUUCUAUAUGACUCUGAGUUCUCAAUUUCUAGAAAUGGUCCCAUUUUUACUUUGUUCCCUACAAUUCUACGGAGUCUUUUUUUUUUUUAAAGGAAGGGUGUAGGCAAAGGUAAAUGGGAGAAAACAUGGAAUCACAUACCACUCUUUGGUGCUGCUAGGCAAGAAUUUUAAACUGAGUUUAGGUCACCAUCGUGGACUUAAGGUCCAUAUCACCUCAGGGAGACAAGUAGAGUGGGAGGCAUCCAAAAGGUAGGUGAUUCUUCUCCCCUCUAGUGAAGAAUACAAGGUCAAUUUACAAAAAAGCACCAGCAGCAAAUAAUUGGAAAAUUAAAUUCAUAAAACAUUUAUAAUAGCGUCAAAAAAAAGAAAAUACUCAGAAAUAAAUUUGACAAAAAUUGUAUAAGAUCUCUACAUUAAAAAUUAUGAAAUACAUGUAAGAGAAAUUAAAGAAAACCUAAAUAGAGAGAUAUACCACAUUCAUGGAUUGGAAGAUUCAAGAUUAUUAAAAUACUAUUCUCCCCAAAUGGCUCUAUAGAUUCAACAUAAUCCCAAUCAAAAUCCCAGUAGGCUUUGGUAGAAAUUGAGAUGUUGGUUCUAAAAUGAAAUAAAAUGCAGAGGACCUAGAAUAUAUAAUUUCCCUUUAAUUUGACAAAGAAGAAAAACAUGUUGGGAAGCUCACCUAAUUUCAGUGUAAUAUUUACAUACGAAUCAACAAAUGGAUCAGUGGUAUAGAAUAGAGAAUCCUGAAAUAGAUCUACAUAUAUAUGGCCAACAGAUUUUUAAUAAUGGUGCCAAGGCUAUUCAGGGGAAAGAAAAUUCUUUUUUAAAAAUGGGAUUGGAAAAACUGGAUAAGGGAAAUAAGUGAACCUCGACCCCUACCUUAUACCGUGCUCAAAAAUUAAUUCAAAAUCAUUCUAGACAUAAAUGUAAAAGUUGAAACUGCAAUGACUCUAGAAGAAAAUAUAGAGAAAAUAUCUCUCUGACCUUGGAGGAAGCAAAAAUUUCUUGUAGUUGACAAAGACAUAUAUAAUAAUCAUAUAAUCCAUUAAUUAUAAGAAAAAUAAACUAGACUUCAUCAAAAUUUAAAACUUCUGCUCAUCAAAAGAUACUAAUAAGAUUAAAAGUAGCCAGGUUCAGUGGCUCAUGCCCAUAAUCCCAGCACUUUGGGAGGCUGAAGCAGGGGGAUCACUUGAGGCCAGGAGUUUGAGACCAGCCUAGGCAACAUAGCAAGAUCUCAUUUCUACAAAAAAUGUUUUUAAAAUUAACUGGGUAUGAUGGCGCAUGUGUAGUCCUAGCUACUCAGGAGGCUGAGUUGGGAGGAUUGCUUGAGCCCAGCAGUUGAAGGUUACAGUGAACUAUGAUCGUACCACUGCACUCCAGCCUGGGCAACAGAGUGAGACCCUUUCUCUAAAAUAAACAAAUAAAUAAUUUUUAUGUCAUCUGAAACUAAGAUCAUACUGAAAUUUUCCCUCAGUGUCUCCAGAAUGUCUUUUUUGAAUGGUUUGCCCAAUGUAGUAUCUCAUUUAGAACCACGUGUUAUGGCCCUUCAGUAUUUUUUUGUUGUUGUUGUUGUUGAGACAGAGUUUCACUCUUGUUCUCUUGUUGCCCAGGCUGGAGUGCAAUGGCAUGGUAUCGGCUCACUGCAACCUCUGUCUCCUGGGUUCAAGCGAUUUUCCUGCCUCAGCCUCCCAAGUAGCUGGGAUUACAGGCAUGCGUCAUCAUACCUAGCUAAUUUGUCCCAUAGAAUCUCAUCUUCUGGAUUUUGUGGCUAUUUUUUCAUGGUGUUGAUUCAUUCAUAAGGUAAAAUUUAUAUACAGUGAAAUGCAUUUUAUGGGUACAAUUCAAUGAGUUUUGAAAAGUGUGCACAUCCAUGUAACCACCACCCAGAUUAAGACACAGAACAUUCCCGUCACCUCAGAAUGUUUCCCGGUGCCUUCUUCCUACCCCUCAUACAGUAACAUUGUAAUAAUUUCUAUUGCCACAUAUAUGUUUACCUGUUCUGAAACUUCACAGAAAUGGAAUUAUAUAUUAUGUAUUUGUUUGUUACUGGCUUUUUAUCAUUUAAUUUUUUUUUAUUCAUCCACACCCACUGCAUGUGUCAGUAUUUCAUUCCUUCUUGUUAUUGUGUAGUAUACGAAUAUAUAAAUAUAUCACUAUUUUUGCAAUCUCCUGUUGAUGGACAUUUGUAUUGUUUCCAGUUAUUAGCUAUUAUGAAUCAUGCAACUAUGUAUAUUAUUAUACAGGUCUUUUGUGGACACAUCUCCAUUAUUUUUGGGUAAAUAUUUAGGAAUGGAAUGUUGGUCAGCUGUAGGCUCCAUUUUACAAGAAACUGCCAAACUGUCUUCCAUUCUACACUUUUGUUUGCAAUGUAUGAAAGUUCUGGUUGCUUCCUAUCCUAAUCAACAUUUGGUGUGGGACUACAGGAACAUGCCACUACACCUGAUUGAUUAAAGAAAAUUUUUUGUAGAGACAGGGUUUUGCUCUAUUGCCCAGGCUGGUCUUGAAUUCCUGGCCUCAAGUGAUCCUCCCACCUCAGCCACUCAAAGCUCUAGGAUUACAGGUGUGAGUCGCCACGACCGGCCAAAAUUUAUUAAUUGGUAGUUGGCAAUUGUUGAUGGAAAAGAAAAAGCAGGUUACAAGCAAUGUACUUUUUGAUGUCUUUGGUAUUAUCACAGGCAAAUAAAUUAUAUAUGUAUAUAUAUUAUGUAUAUUAUAUUAUGUAUUUUAAUUAUAUGUGUAUAACGUAUAUGUAUAGAAAGAGAUACAGUAAGGAAUAUAAGUUUUUCUAUUAACAUAGGUAACCCAAGGUAGGGGAUAAGAUGUUUACAUUCUCUUAUUUGUGUUUUCUAACUUUCCACCAGGCACAUACACUGUUUCUAUAAUAACACGUGCUGGUUGAAAAUGUCAGACUCUGAAAUUCAAUGUUUUAUAAUAUAGGGUGAUAGACAAGAGGGAUGGAUAGAGCAAGAAGAAUGAAACCUAAUAGGGUUAGUUAGAGCCCUACUGAGUGAAUCUCUUGUUGGGUAUUUUCCAUGCACUGUCUCGUUUCAUUCUUACAAUAAACCUAUGAAGUAUCAUUUUUCUAUUUGUACAGCGCUAAUAAGGCUAUAAGUUAGCAUUUGAACAUAAUAUAAUCUGACCUCAAAACCCAUGCUUUUUUUCCCUCACUUAUACAUACAUACUUUCAGGUUAAUAAGUUCUGUUGCUAAACAUUUAUGUAGUAUUUACUAUGUACCAGGCACCAUGUUAAAUGUUCUACAUGAAGCACCUCAUUUGUACUUCAUGACAAUCCAUAUAAAGAUACCACUAUUAUUAUCCACAUUUUACAGAUAAGAAAACUGAGGCACAGAGACUAAAUAAAUCUAAAUUCCCACAGCUAGUAAGUGGCAGAGCCAAGAAUUAAGCUCAGGCCACCUGAUUCUCCAGCUUCUACCCAAUACACUAUACCGUGUUCCCAUGUUUUCAACACAUUCCCAAAUGGAGCAGGGGAGAAUAAGCGCCAGCAACCAACAAAGGAGACAUCGACGCCAAAGGUCUACCAUAAAGUUUUUCACGGUGACAUCCUUGCUUACCUGUCCAGGGCCAUGCUGGUUGGCAUACUCCUCCCAAACCCGCGGACCCCCAUCUGAUGGAAAUAUGGAAUGCAAGAGAGGUUGGCAGCAAUGAUGGCCAGGGAGUCAGAAGGGCUCACAAAGAAGCCAUUUUGGCCUAGGAUCAUAUAACGGUCCUGUAGGAAGGAAUGCGUAAAAAUGAUCGGACAGAAGCAUCUGCUAGCAGCCCAUUCCCAUAAUCAUCACAAUCCACUUUACUGCCAUCUUAUAUUUAACAAUCUAACAACUUGAAUGAGGCCAAAGAGAACAUGGGAAACAUUCUUCAAAAUCUCUGAGUACCAAGGGCCCAGAUUCUUGACACACCAGGAAUAUGUUCCACCUGUUGAAAUGUGGCUCAAGCUUUAGAAGCCCCCAAAUACCUAAUUCUUUCUUUCUCCCAAACAUAAUGGAGAACACUGCUUCUUGCAGAAAUAGCUGAUUUCUUAACUUGGUGCUUUCAACAACACCAGCCAUAAAUAAAGAUUUAUUGAAUAAUAUAUAUUUUUAAAUAAACAACCUUUGUAU